Long non-coding RNA from Phyllopteryx taeniolatus (common seadragon), 1527 nucleotides. RefSeq lists it as uncharacterized. NCBI's taxonomy places the organism in Eukaryota, Metazoa, Chordata, Actinopteri, Syngnathiformes, Syngnathidae. The record is from RefSeq and is a predicted model, not a curated record. The transcript is spliced from 3 exons.
AGAAAAUUCAACUAUGAUCCACUUUAGAGGAGGAGUCUGUGCAGAAGUUGUUUUUCACAAUGAAAGUUGGGCGGUCGGCGGCCUUCCGAGCGAGCUCGUCAGCGGCGGACGAGGUCAGAAGUCGCGGCGUGAGGGCAACCCGGCACGACAUCACCAUUGCGCGGAUGGCGCAGGACCUCCGAGGUUCCGCCGUAUCCUCAUUUGGCAUCUUCGCAACAUGCGCGGCGGCUAUCCACGCACGUUCUUCCCCUUCCGAGCCGAGAUUGAUUUCUCAGCCGGCCGAGCCCCUCGUAAUAGCCUUGGCGAGCUCGUGAAUAUGGAUGAGCUCCAACGAGCGUCAUAAAAUGGCCCGCGAGGCGGAAUGAGACUGUCAGCGCGCGCGCGUGUGUGUGUGUGUGUGUGUGUGUGUGCGUGUGUGUGUGUGCGUGUACGUGUUCGUACGUAUGCGUGUGCAGAGGUGGGAUUAAAAACGAUCAAAGCGGAGAAGCGGGAAAGCUAUUCAGGUAGAUCUGAUGAUAACGUCCAUCUCAUAGAAAGAUGGGCCUCAGAUGAGCAAUCGUGCUCUUGACGGCAGUGUGUGUGCGUGUUUGUUUGAGUGUGUGAGAUAGAGAGGUGACCCCCAAGGGCGCAGAGGCUGAUUGAAAAAGAAGUUCAUUUCCAGGCCCUGAUGGAUAGCAGACAGGCGGCAGAAUAUCCCGGGAAAUGAAAAAAAAAAAAAAAAGCAAAGAGAAGGGGCAGCCGGGGAGGCGGCGGCCGCCACCUGCUCGUUGGCGUUCAUUCGGUGAGAAGUCACACAGAUCUUGGCACGACAGGAGAUCACGAUGAGUGGGAGUAGCCGACGAAAAUGCGAUGGCGCGCCACCGAGCGAAACGACAUCAAAAAGAAGAAAACCGAAAUAACGAUGAGCCGCUCCCAAUCGACUCCAAAUGCGCUUCGUCGGUGUGUGCGUGCCACGACUUCUUCGGGUUUGGUGGACUUUGAGCAAUUCAUCGUUUUUUUUUUUUUCCAACAAAUCAUUUGAGGACCGACGAAGCCGAACUGGAUCGUGACGAUCUCUCACGUCACCCCGGUUGGAAUCGGGGGCGCACUUAGACCUGGCCGGGAACGAGGACGAGCGCUACUGAAAGCGCACCCGGGCGUCGACGCCCACCUGGAUCCGAUCCUCCGGCAGCUCCGUCUUCACGGACAGCAUCUCCCUGGCGUACACGUCCGGGUAGUGUGCCUCGUUGAAGGCUCUCUCCAACUCCUCCAGCUGAUAGGACGUGAAAAUUGUCCUGCGUGCACAAAUGGAAAACUUUCACAGAUAUCGCUUCAAUGCAAAGAUCCAAAUCUCCACAUUCUGCUCGUAAGUCUGAGGAAGCCACCAGAAGAAAAACCGGAGCCAUUUUGCGUCAUCGUCCAUCUGGAUCUUUAGCUAAAUGUAUUGUGCUAUAGAAAAUCGAUACAUAAGAGUUUCACCACAGAAUCCUGUAAUCAAACAGAUGACAAGUCAUGCCUCAAUUCGACAACAAUGCGUCCUUUGCAAAA